GGGGAAUAUUGGACAAUGGGCGCAAGCCUGAUCCAGCCAUGCCGCGUGGGUGAAGAAGGCCUUCGGGUUGUAAAGCCCUUUUGUUGGGAAAGAAAAGCAGCCGGCCAAUACCCGGUUGUUCUGACGGUACCCAAAGAAUAAGCACCGGCUAACUUCGUGCCAGCAGCCGCGGUAAUACGAAGGGUGCAAGCGUUACUCGGAAUUACUGGGUGUAAAGGGCGUGUAGGCGGGAAAGCAAGUCAGAUGUGAAAACUAUGGGCUCAACCCAUAGCCUGCAUUUGAAACUGUUUUUCUUGAGUGUCGGAGAGGUAAUCGGAAUUCUGUGUGUAGCGGUGAAAUGCGUAGAUAUACGGAGGAACACCAGUGGCGAAGGCGGAUUACUGGACGAUAACUGACGCUGAGGCGCGAAAGCGUGGGGAGCAAACA
RNAcentral lists this ribosomal RNA (426 nucleotides) under uncultured bacterium. RNAcentral's name for it is "bacterial SSU rRNA". It matches the Rfam family "Bacterial small subunit ribosomal RNA", at positions 356 to 774 of the family's 1533-position model. The record is from RNAcentral.